Triticum aestivum (bread wheat) is the source of this 1700-nucleotide long non-coding RNA. RefSeq lists it as uncharacterized. The record is from RefSeq and is a predicted model, not a curated record. The transcript is spliced from 9 exons. Lineage: Eukaryota; Viridiplantae; Streptophyta; Magnoliopsida; Poales; Poaceae.
CCCAGGCGCGUGCACCUUCUCAACCCUAGCCGCCUCCCCACCUCAGCCCCCCCGGUCCCCGGCGGCUCCCCGCUCGUCCUCACCCCCUCCCUCUCUUUCUCUCUCCCCCCGCCGCCACCGUCGACCCCCACGGCUGGUUCGCCGCCUUCCUCCUCUUCGCCAUCGACGUGGACGUUGGCGUGCGCGCGCGGGCGGCAGAGCUUGCUGUCCGGCUGCGUGGCGCGCCCGUGUUGUACUGCCUGAAGAGCUCUAUCCGGAGGAGUACGAGGAGACGCGUGAUCCGCCGGCGCCGUCUUCCCUCUUCCCUCUUUCCAUCCCUCCUGCUCGCCAGCGGCUCCUCCUCCCCUGCCUCCUCACGUCGCCCUCAGGUCCGAGGCAACGAGUUUGCUUCCUCUGCUCCGUUCAUGUCAUUGAGCUUUUUCCUUGGCCAUAGCACCACAUUUGCGGCCGCACACCAGAGUCAAUUUGGUUGACUAGCAACAGAGCAAAGAGUAAAAUCAGAUCUUCACCUAUAGAGGAGGUAGAUACUGACGGAGUGUAUAUGACCAGGUGUCCUCCAGGUUCUGCAUCAUCAGUGUGUACCUCUAGAUUCUGCAUCAUUAGUGAGCAACUUACCUAAGGGGAGGCAUUGUUUCAGACACAUGAGAACCUGGAACACCUAGCAAUGAUGGAGAGGGUUUUGGGACCCGUACCAGAGCACAUGAUACGGGAGGCUAGUUUAUCAGCUCAGAAAUAUUUUAGGCGAGGGACACGUCUAAAUUGGCCUGAAGGUGCUGUUACAAGAGAAAGCAUCAGAGCAGUCAGGAAACUACACCGGCUAAAGCAAAUCACCCUGCCCUACGAACGACCAUCGCAAGCUGUUCACUUAACCUUCCAAAGCCAAGGUUCCUGUGUCGGCUUCUGUCGAUACUAGAGAAAGUGCUUCAGCUGAAGAUGCUAUUGACCUAUAUCCAAGGCAGAUGAAACUAAGCUGGAUGGUGAGAACGCUGAUGUUGUGGUUACUGGAGAUGAGAAGAACGUGCAGUCUGACCAAACCUAGCCUAAGAGCAACCGAGCCCAAUCAACAAUUAGUAGAAGUAGUUAUGAGAUGAGGCAGAGGAGAGCAGAGAGGACCGGAGAAGGAGUUGCGGACCUCACCAACAAGGCCGUGACCCUGCAUCACUAAAAAAAUGCCCCGUAUUUGUUUCUCAUGCUUGGGUGAUGGCUGACCAUGGCAUGUUCUUAUUAGUUCAGGUUGGUCUCUCCGGUUCUUUUCGCCGAUGGCUUGAUGUAUGCACUGGCAACCUCUUACUGGAAGGAUUCGGCAUGCCUCUGUUCGAGAGAUGGGAUAUGAAGAAAUGGCGUUCUGGUAUUUUAUAUCAUUUGAAGCAAUGACACUUUAUUUUGGUUCACAUUUCUUUACAGGUUGUUGUAUGCAGAGUUUAUGAGGUUGCACUGCACCAUCAAACUAUGCUCCAUGUUAAGCAACAUCCAGAACUGCCAUUAUAUAUUUAAUGUAGUAGAUUGAUGCAACUUUGUAACCAUUCAUGGAUUUAAAAUAGGCUUUAUACCUCUUUAUUUUGGUCGGCAUGUUUUGGCACGUGUCUUUGUCAUUGAUCGGCUAUAUAUUAAUUACAUUUGAGUAGACUGUUGACUGAGAAAGCCUGAACAUGUUGUGUUUUGAUUUAUGAGGACUAAUAGAUAGUUUUCUCUCGGGUUUA